This 74-nucleotide transfer RNA is filed under the name Erinaceus europaeus (western European hedgehog). It matches the Rfam family "tRNA". Rfam says of the family: Transfer RNA (tRNA) molecules are approximately 80 nucleotides in length. Lineage: Eukaryota; Metazoa; Chordata; Mammalia; Eulipotyphla; Erinaceidae. The record is from Rfam by way of RNAcentral.
GGGGAUAUAGCUCAGUAGUAGAGUAUACACACUUUGAAUGUAUGAGGUCUUGGGUCCCAUUCCUAGUACCCCUC